This is a long non-coding RNA of Chrysoperla carnea, 441 nucleotides long. RefSeq lists it as uncharacterized. The record is from RefSeq and is a predicted model, not a curated record. Lineage: Eukaryota; Metazoa; Arthropoda; Insecta; Neuroptera; Chrysopidae. The transcript has 4 exons.
UAAAGUGUAAACAACAUCAAUCAAGAUGGCUGCCUUUUAUUUAGUUUAUUCAUUUAUUGUGCAUUUGUUUUGUUAUUACAAUAAUAAUUAGUUGUUAUUAGUUAAAAAUUUAAGAAAUUAAACACAGACAUGGCCCAGAUGAACUUGAAAAAUGGAAAUUGGUGCGUGUCGAUGAAUAUUUUCGUGUUAUUGCACUUGGAUUGCCUGUUCCAAGAUACACUGGUAAUUUAUUGGAUCCACCGUUAAGAUCAAGAUUUCAGGCACGAGAUGUAUCCCAUCUUAGUUACCAGAUUGGUGCGAACUUUGGGUGCAGGACGUGGUUUUAUUUGUACAGAUUGCAGUGAGUUGCCACAGAUUUUAAAACAAAUUUUUACAGCAUCUGUUCUACGAUAACGAUAACGAUAGAUCUAUUAUUAAAUUUUAGUUCAAUUUAAAAACAUU